RNAcentral lists this transfer RNA (72 nucleotides) under Megalops atlanticus (tarpon). RNAcentral describes it as "tRNA-OTHER". Lineage: Eukaryota; Metazoa; Chordata; Actinopteri; Elopiformes; Megalopidae. The record is from RNAcentral.
AGCUCUUUAGUUUUGCGGUCAAAGCUGCAGUUUGGCACCCUGUAGAGCCAGGUUCGAGGCCAGGUGGGGUGA